GGUCCUACGGGAGGCAGCAGUGAGGAAUAUUGGUCAAUGGGCGGAAGCCUGAACCAGCCAAGUCGCGUGAGGGAAUAAGGCCCUACGGGUCGUAAACCUCUUUUGCCGGGGAGCAAGGGCGGGGACGUGUCCCGGCCCGGAGAGUACCCGGAGAAAAAGCAUCGGCUAACUCCGUGCCAGCAGCCGCGGUAAUACGGAGGAUGCGAGCGUUAUCCGGAUUUAUUGGGUUUAAAGGGUGCGUAGGCGGGCUUUUAAGUGAGAUGUGAAGUACUCGGGCUCAACUUGAGUGCUGCAUUUCAAACUGG
This 305-nucleotide ribosomal RNA is filed under the name uncultured bacterium. Its description in RNAcentral is "bacterial SSU rRNA". It matches the Rfam family "Bacterial small subunit ribosomal RNA", at positions 335 to 636 of the family's 1533-position model. The record is from RNAcentral.